GCACAGAGUGGCCUCCUCGGAGGGUCCCCCUAUACCUCCACCUGAGAACCAGCAAACAAAGAAGAAGAAGAAGAAGACUUUCUGGAGACUGUUUAGCUGCUGCAGGAAAAAACAUAGCGCUGCUCCAGUUACUGAAGAUGAAGCUCAGCAGAAGACUCCUCGGAAAACUGACAGAAGUUGCAGCCCUACUAAAACUCAAGAUGGGACCCAACAGCCCAACACCUCUAUCCAAGCUGACCCAGUGGUGGAGUUAAAAGAAGACAAGGCCCCACUGGAAAAAGUUCACGAGGAGAACAAGAGAGCAGAUACCCUGCUGCCUCAUCUGCUUCCCGUUCCUGGCCCCGCAAAAAGGCAAGUAAACUAUUCUCACUUAAGAGAAUAAGAGAUAAUUCAUAGCUUUAUAAGGGACAUCAAAAUGCUAAAAAUUGAUCAGCUAAAGCCAGGACAUUUUUGUGUUACAUUACCUCAGUAUGCCAAACUCUGGACCAGGAAAAAAAAACCUCUAAACAAUC
This is a long non-coding RNA of Scatophagus argus, 512 nucleotides long. RefSeq lists it as uncharacterized. The transcript is spliced from 3 exons. The record is from RefSeq and is a predicted model, not a curated record. Lineage: Eukaryota; Metazoa; Chordata; Actinopteri; Scatophagidae.